This is a long non-coding RNA of Oncorhynchus gorbuscha (pink salmon), 252 nucleotides long. RefSeq lists it as uncharacterized. The transcript has 3 exons. NCBI's taxonomy places the organism in Eukaryota, Metazoa, Chordata, Actinopteri, Salmoniformes, Salmonidae. The record is from RefSeq and is a predicted model, not a curated record.
CCCUUCCUCCAGACCAAAGGCACGUCUUUAUAGAGGAACUAGACGUUGAGAACCGUCUCACUGAGCUCUGUGAACAAGUCAAGCAGAGAGCGGAGAGCCCGGACGAGCUGGCAGAGCUGGUCAAUAUGAACCUGGCCCAGCUGUGUUCCCUCCUCAUGGCCCUGUGGGGUCAGUUCCUGGAGGUGGUCUCACUGCAGGAGAAUGUUGCUGCCCUGCUGGCUGUGGAGCAUCACACACUCAGAGUGAGUAGAU